This 228-nucleotide unclassified non-coding RNA is filed under the name uncultured fungus. RNAcentral's name for it is "sequence contains ITS1, 5.8S rRNA gene". The stretch from base 180 to 228 matches the Rfam family "5.8S ribosomal RNA", at positions 1 to 49 of the family's 154-position model. Lineage: Eukaryota; Fungi. The record is from RNAcentral.
UCUCCGUUGGUGAACCAGCGGAGGGAUCAUUACUGAGUGAGGGUCUCCGGGCCCGACCUCCAAUCCCAUGUGAACCGAAACCUGUUGCAUCGGGGGCGACCCUGCCUUUCGGCGCGGCGCCCCCGGAGCCCAUCAAACCCUGCGUAACUAAGUCGUCGGAGUUUAAACAAAUUAAACAAAACUUUCAACAACGGAUCUCUUGGUUCGGGCAUCGAUGAAGAACGCAGC